Molecule: ribosomal RNA, 253 nt
Filed under: uncultured bacterium
Lineage: Bacteria
Description: partial 16S ribosomal RNA
Rfam family: Bacterial small subunit ribosomal RNA
Source: RNAcentral
UACAGAGGGGGCAAGCGUUGUUCGGAAUCACUGGGCGUAAAGGGUGCGUAGGCCGCACGGUAAGUCAGAGGUGAAAUCCCGGAGCUCAACUCCGGAAUGGCCUCCGAUACUGCCGUGCUCGAGGACUGGAGAGGAGUCUGGAAUUCACAGUGGAGCAGUGAAAUGCGUGGAUAUUGUGAGGAACACUAGUGGCGAAGGCGAGACUCUGGACAGUUCCUGACGCUGAGGCACGAAGGCCAGGGGAGCAAACGGG